UGGGGAAUGAUUGCACAAUGGGCGAAGGCCUGAUGCAGCAACGCCGCGUGAGGGACGACGGCCUUCGGGUUGUAAACCUCUUUAGCAAGGAAGAAGCGAAAGUGACGGUACUUGCAGAAAAAGCGCCGGCUAACUACGUGCCAGCAGCCGCGGUAAUACGUAGGGCGCAAGCGUUAUCCGGAAUUAUUGGGCGUAAAGAGCUCGUAGGCGGUUUGUCGCGUCUGCUGUGAAAACCCGAGGCUCAACCUCGGGCCUGCAGUGGGUACGGGCAGACUAGAGUGCGGUAGGGAGAUUGGAACUCCUGGUGUAGCGGUGGAAUGCGCAGAUAUCAGGAAGAACACCGAUGGCGAAGGCAGAUCUCUGGGCCGUAACUGACGCUGAGGAGCGAAAGGGUGGGGNGCAAACAGGCUUAGAUACCCUGGUAGUCCACCCGUAACGUUGGGAACUAGUUGUGGGGUCCAUUCCACGGAUUCCGUGACGCAGCUAACGCAUUAAGUUCCCCGCCUGGGGAGUACGGCCGCAAGGCU
RNAcentral lists this ribosomal RNA (527 nucleotides) under uncultured bacterium. RNAcentral's name for it is "partial 16S ribosomal RNA". It matches the Rfam family "Bacterial small subunit ribosomal RNA", at positions 355 to 895 of the family's 1533-position model. The record is from RNAcentral.